Molecule: transfer RNA, 74 nt
Filed under: Chloroflexota bacterium
Lineage: Bacteria; Bacillati; Chloroflexota
Description: tRNA-Pro
Rfam family: tRNA
About the family: Transfer RNA (tRNA) molecules are approximately 80 nucleotides in length. Their secondary structure includes four short double-helical elements and three loops (D, anti-codon, and T loops).
Source: RNAcentral
CGGGGCGUGGCGCAGUUGGACAGCGCGCUGCGUUUGGGACGCAGAGGUCGCCGGUUCGAGUCCGGCCGCCCCGA